RNAcentral lists this small RNA (76 nucleotides) under Methylobrevis pamukkalensis. RNAcentral describes it as "Makes More Granules Regulator RNA (mmgR)". It matches the Rfam family "Makes More Granules Regulator RNA (mmgR)". Rfam says of the family: SuhB later renamed mmgR (makes more granules regulator) was a putative non-coding RNA found multiple times in the Agrobacterium tumefaciens genome and related alpha-proteobacteria. Other non-coding RNAs uncovered in the same analysis include: speF, ybhL, metA, and serC. Lineage: Bacteria; Pseudomonadati; Pseudomonadota; Alphaproteobacteria; Hyphomicrobiales; Pleomorphomonadaceae. The record is from Rfam by way of RNAcentral.
GCUGCAUGCCCUCCUUGGGCGUUUCCUCCCUAGACUUUCAGACCGCUGCUCGCAGCGGUCUUUUUUUUUGCCGCGC